RNAcentral lists this ribosomal RNA (440 nucleotides) under uncultured bacterium. Its description in RNAcentral is "bacterial SSU rRNA". It matches the Rfam family "Bacterial small subunit ribosomal RNA", at positions 338 to 773 of the family's 1533-position model. The record is from RNAcentral.
CCUACGGGUGGCUGCAGUCGAGGAUCUUCGGCAAUGGGCGCAAGCCUGACCGAGCGACGCCGCGUGCGGGAUGAAGGCCUUCGGGUUGUAAACCGCUUUCGGAGGGGAUGAAAUGCGUGGGGGUUCUCCCCCACGUUUGACAUAGCCUCUAAAGAAGUACGGGCUAAGUUCGUGCCAGCAGCCGCGGUAAGACGAACCGUACGAACGUUAUUCGGAAUCACUGGGCUUAAAGGGUGCGUAGGCGGCGCUGAAAGUUGGGUGUGAAAUCCCUCGGCUUAACCGAGGAAUUGCGCCCAAAACUACAGUGCUUGAGGGAGAUAGAGGUGAGUGGAACUUAGGGUGGAGCGGUGAAAUGCGUUGAUAUCCUAAGGAACACCAGUGGCGAAAGCGACUCACUGGGUCUUCUCUGACGCUGAGGCACGAAAGCUAGGGUAGCGAAC